Molecule: transfer RNA, 62 nt
Filed under: Raeta pulchella
Lineage: Eukaryota; Metazoa; Mollusca; Bivalvia; Venerida; Anatinellidae
Description: tRNA-Val
Source: RNAcentral
GAGGAGGUAGCAUAUAUAAUGUAUUUUGUUUACGCCAAGAAGAAGGUUUUUACCUCUCCUUU